This 92-nucleotide transfer RNA is filed under the name Tetradesmus obliquus. RNAcentral describes it as "tRNA-Ser". It matches the Rfam family "tRNA". Rfam says of the family: Transfer RNA (tRNA) molecules are approximately 80 nucleotides in length. Their secondary structure includes four short double-helical elements and three loops (D, anti-codon, and T loops). Further hydrogen bonds mediate the characteristic L-shaped molecular structure. tRNAs have two regions of fundamental functional importance: the anti-codon, which is responsible for specific mRNA codon recognition, and the 3' end, to which the tRNAs corresponding amino acid is attached (by aminoacyl-tRNA synthetases). tRNAs cope with the degeneracy of the genetic code in two manners: having more than one tRNA (with a specific anti-codon) for a particular amino acid; and 'wobble' base-pairing, i.e. permitting non-standard base-pairing at the 3rd anti-codon position. Lineage: Eukaryota; Viridiplantae; Chlorophyta; Chlorophyceae; Sphaeropleales; Scenedesmaceae. The record is from RNAcentral.
CGGAGAGAUGGCUGAGUGGUCGAAAGCGGCUGAUUGCUAAUCCGUUGUACGAGAUUCCUUCGUACCGAGGGUUCGAAUCCCUCUCUCUCCGA